RNAcentral lists this small RNA (193 nucleotides) under Sphenodon punctatus (tuatara). RNAcentral's name for it is "TUC338 (ENSSPUG00000004711.1)". Lineage: Eukaryota; Metazoa; Chordata; Lepidosauria; Sphenodontia; Sphenodontidae. The record is from RNAcentral.
GUGCCAGGCUAAGAGUCCUGAAAUCCUAUUUAACUGCAGAACAGGUACAGCACAGACAGCAGCAAUGUGAUUUCCUCACAUUGCCCUGCCAGUUUUUUCUUUCUGUUUUUCCAAAAAGCAAUAACUCUCACUACAUCUAGGAGAAUAGGAUAGCAGGAACUCAGGGCGCUUUCCAAUGUGCAUAAAUGCAUCU